Molecule: long non-coding RNA, 466 nt
Filed under: Ananas comosus (pineapple)
Lineage: Eukaryota; Viridiplantae; Streptophyta; Magnoliopsida; Poales; Bromeliaceae
Description: long non-coding RNA (ACOM_LNC036815)
Source: RNAcentral
AAAAUAUUUCUUAGGAUUUAGAGAAUUCCGUAAAAUUUUAAUAAAAAAAUUGAUAAAAUAAGUGAGGACAUUCUGAUUAUCAAGAGGCUAAGAUAUAAGAUACACCUACAUCUUAGAUAGGGAUGCAAACGGGGCGGAUCCAAAGGCGGGAGGGGUCUUCCACCUCCCACUCCAUUUCAUGUUUGGUCGGGACAGAUUCAUGACGGGUUAAUUUAAGGCUAAAUUACAGAAAAUCUCCUUAUAAAUACUUAUUUUUUAUUUUUUUUAACUUUCAAAAUUCUAUAUUUUAUCUUUUUAAUAUUUCAAGUUGUUACAUUUGGCCCUCCUAUAUUAGGGUUCUAUUACUAUUCCGUUCAUUUUUUAUAAUUUAUACCAAAAAUACCCUUCGAAAUUACAGCAAUAUAUUAAAAAAUUAUUUUUUCUUAUAAAAAAAUAAGGGUAAUUUAGUCAUUUUGCCUUCUUCAUU